Molecule: non-coding RNA, 111 nt
Filed under: Novosphingobium sp. Rr 2-17
Lineage: Bacteria; Pseudomonadati; Pseudomonadota; Alphaproteobacteria; Sphingomonadales; Sphingomonadaceae
Also listed under: 1 other name
Description: TPP riboswitch aptamer (THI element)
Rfam family: TPP riboswitch aptamer (THI element)
About the family: Vitamin B(1) in its active form thiamin pyrophosphate (TPP) is an essential coenzyme that is synthesised by coupling of pyrimidine and thiazole moieties in bacteria. The previously detected thiamin-regulatory element, thi box was extended, resulting in a new, highly conserved RNA secondary structure, the THI element, which is widely distributed in eubacteria and also occurs in some archaea.
Source: Rfam by way of RNAcentral
CUGACAUCCCCGGGGAGCCAGCAUAUGGCUGAGAGUUGUGAGUAUGCUCCACAAGACCCGUCGAACCUGAACCCGUUAGCACGGGCGGAGGGAGUGGAGCGCUGGGCAUCA